UUGGUCUCUCCGACAUCACCACACUUGAGAUCUCCAACCCCCUCUUCCUUUCUAUUUAUAAAAACUUUAAAAGGGCGGUUGUCGAUGCAUAUGUCUAUAAUAAAUAUUGCAGAUCUCGUUGAGUUGAUCUAGAUAUAGGUUGGCGUCGGAGGGGAAACCACUUCGCCAACAUAAACUGAUGGUUUCCCAAGGACAAGCUUAGUGUCUUAAAAUAAGCAUUGAUCAGAUCGUAACAUGAGUCUUUAAUUAUUUGCAACAUUACCUUGUGUAUUGAGCAUAUAAGGAUAAUUGUAAAAAAAAUAUUCCUUCGGGUAUUCUUGUCACUAACCUUUCUAAGAUUGGAGCAAG
Molecule: long non-coding RNA, 348 nt
Filed under: Sorghum bicolor (sorghum)
Lineage: Eukaryota; Viridiplantae; Streptophyta; Magnoliopsida; Poales; Poaceae
Description: long non-coding RNA (SBIC_LNC017485)
Source: RNAcentral